Long non-coding RNA from Micropterus dolomieu (smallmouth bass), 640 nucleotides. RefSeq lists it as uncharacterized. The record is from RefSeq and is a predicted model, not a curated record. The transcript is spliced from 3 exons. NCBI's taxonomy places the organism in Eukaryota, Metazoa, Chordata, Actinopteri, Centrarchiformes, Centrarchidae.
UUCGCGCCUGCUCACUCCACCCUGUAUAGGCUACAUGCAUAUGCGUUUAAUCAGAAGUCUCUCCCGACUGAAGUAAUGGUUCUUAUUUUUACAUUCAUCAUGCUUUUAAAUUCAUAAAUAUACCAUAAGAAAGCCUCCGACUAUAAAUUAAUGCCUGUGUGGAGCUAAACUUGAUCAGACGGUUUAUUUACUUCACUGCUACCGCCUCCCUCUGAUUAUGGAUGUUUGACUGCUGAACUUCAACUUGGAAAUUGGGAUUUUCAGUUCCUGCUGUCUGUGUGCGCAUUUGGACCAUGACGCCUCUCCCCAUGAGACACCACCAGGGACCACUGCUGAACUUCAACAAGCUAAUACCUGGCAAUUAAAGCAACAGGACGCUGUGUGGCUACUCGCUGAAGAUUGGUCUGGCCAUUCCCAGCCCUGCCCAUAUCCUGCUUGUCAUCUGAGGAUGCCAGCUGGAGCGGCACCCCUUCACUUCCUCCAAUCCAGAAGCUGCCUGUCAUUUGGUGAUGCUGAUUGGAGCGGCGCUCUACCGCUUCCCCCAAUCCCGAAGCUGCCAGCAAGACCGCUCCCCCUUCAAAUAGGGUGCCAUCCUGCUGCUCCUGGCAGCAGUGUUGGGAAAAGUCACCCUUUUGACAGA